Molecule: non-coding RNA, 574 nt
Organism: Arachis ipaensis
Lineage: Eukaryota; Viridiplantae; Streptophyta; Magnoliopsida; Fabales; Fabaceae
Source: RefSeq, a predicted model, not a curated record
UUCUGCAAUUCCAUAAUCAUCAGCAAUGCAUCCAAAACACACAAACAAAGAAUCAACAGAGUAACAAAUCGCAGCAACAUCAGCAAAAUUUCAAGAAAAACGAGAGGCAGGAGUUUAAGCAAAUUCAGAUUCAACAAGCAAUUCAACGACAUACUCACCAACAACAGAGCACAAAUUCAAUUUCACAGGCUCAGUUCACAAUUCAACCAGUCCAGAUUGUGCAAUUUAUGAAAAACAUAGGAAACAGCUCUGGCUGAGGAGGAAGUUGCCAUUCAGGGCGGCGGAGCAGUAGCAGAAGGGUUGAAUCUCCCAUCGACAGCAAGCGGCGUUGGCGAAGCUGCAGUUCUACAUCGAGGCAGUGGUGCCGAGGUCGGUGCCGUCACAAAGGAGGAAGGAGAGGACACCGUGCAUGAUGGAGGCGGCUGGAUCCUGAGCGGCGAAGACGGCGUCGCGAGUGAUUCCACGGGUGUGCUUCGCGGCGGCGUUGUCGCGACGCGAGGAGCACCGAACGAUCAUGUGGAGGCAGUGCUGAGUACCGACGGCGAUCCUUGCAGAGGUUGGUUCUGUCCUGCUU